CACACCCACGUUGUUUACGUGGCCCACAGGUGCGGACUGUGUUUAGCUAACAUGCUAAAUGCUAAAGUCCUCAGAGUGGAUCUUCCAGCAGUGACUUCUGCUUUCACUUUUGUUGAGGUGUGUGAGGCCUGUUGUAUUACACCUUGAAAAGAGACGAGCAGAGGCAUUGAGUCUCGUGCAGGUUUCCGGGGUGCACGAGACUCAUUAAUGUCGUUCACACAGUUGGAAGAAGUACUCGGCCUCGAAUACAAAUACCACAAGGUUCAUACCGUUGUCUUUGCCCUUCACGAAGCUCUCCCACUCUCUGAACCACUGCAUGCUGAUGCACAGGAUCACCGUCGGAGCCUCUUCAGCCUGAAACUCUUUGUUCAGCUGCAGACGAGAGGAAAAACCGCGCGUUCAGCACGAAGCAUGAAGACACAUUAACAAACAGGAAAUGAUGUUAUCUCGUACUUCCUGCAGUGCCGUGGUGACAUAUGACUGAAAGCAGAUCGUAAGUGGUGACUUGCGACGGACUCUCUUUAGCCAGGAAAGGCCGCAUGUCGAGGCCCUCCAGCGGGAAGGACACGUGGCUGCCGAUCUUGAAGGAAUACAUGACCUCGUGCCGGAAGCGUUUCAGGAACUCCUUCCUCCGCUGCUGUAUCCACAUCAGCGUCCUCGUCCAUCUCUUGCGAGCCUCCACGGAGGGGUGAGCCAGACACCCUCCUCUCCUUCAGCCUCUCCUUCUCCGAGAUCACCCCUCCGGUACCGACGCCCACCAUCCCUCCUGCCGGCGACCUGACCCCGUCACACUCAUCCUGCAGGAGCAGCUCGCCGUCGCCCCCUCCUCCCCCCUCCCCUCGGUCACUGCUGGAGCCAGAGUCACAUGAUAGGAAUUCAUCCUCAGAUGGGGAGCGCUCUCCGUCUCUUAUCUCCUCACCAUCACUACCCUCCCCGCUCAUGCUGCACUCUGUCAGAGGCUCCUUCAGCUCUUCGUGUAGCUGGUCCAUUAGACAGCGCAGGAACUCCUGAGUGUCCUGUAGCAUAAAGGCAUAAUGCAUUCACUCAACAGGAGGACGCACGAGUGCUGCUACAUAAACACAGACAGUCAGGAGUUUACAGAGAAGUUAUUUCAAAACAAGAAGAUGGACAGAAAUCUCUUACAGAGAGCAGGCUUCUUAUCGGUCCGGACCAAUCCACUGCAGUCCAGGAAGAACUGAGUGAGAGGAGGACUGGUGAGGAAGAGGAGGAAACACAAGUGUUUAACUAACGGAGCGUCUUCAACCACCUCCUGGCAAUUGGAACUGCUUUUACUGGGUGACCUACUGGCUGAGGAGCUGCCUCCUGGGAAGAAAGAUUAAAAGUACUAUAAAUAUGAAGUUGAGUAAGAAACCGGUUGUGUGAAUUUGUAAUGGCAUGGAUGAGGAGUGAUACCUGCUCUGUGGCUUUACAGUGGUGGGGAGCAGCACAGGCCGGCACCAGCGCCGGCCUGUGCUCCAAAAACACCUCCCGCUCACACACAUAACACCAGAUCCUGAACGUCGUCAGGUUCACAGUCAGGUUGUGCUUCUGAGUCUAAAAGGAAACACUCGCAAUCAUCCAAGGGACAUUUUUCCUCUCAUAACCAUUGCACUUCAAACUGACAGGUAUGUUUGUUUAGUGUUGGAGGGUUUUACCUGUGCAUGCAGGGUGCUGUGAUCAGAGAAGGAUUCUCCACAACCAACAUAUGGGCAGUCACUCUGCAGAGCAGAGACACUGUAUCAGACAUCACAAUGUCUACCUGUCUCAUUCAUCUGAACUGGCAAAAACACAUAUUUCUCCUCUCACCUGUACAUCUUGUGUAGCCGCUUGCCUGCCUGAGAUUGAGAUCUACUGCAUUUAUAAUUACAUGCAUGUCCCACAUCAUCAUUAAUUAUUAAGUAUUCACCUGGCCUCCACACACAGUACAUCUCUUCUCUUCCCUUUACAGCCUUUGUCACUCUACCAGCCAGACGCUUGGUAUCGCUUGAGUGGAAACCUCCAACACUUCCCCUUGUAUACUCUAUGGAUAAGGGAAUUGCUCAGUUUUCUCAAACAGGAAAGAAUUUGGUGCAAACUCACAGAAAACUGCAGGUUUUGCUGCAGCUCUGUUCUUGGAGCCGAUUUUUAAAACCCUUCUUGUCUUAUUGUUACGAUGGAGUAUAAGAGCCAUUUUUAGUUUUUUACAAUGCACUGUAACUUUUAUUCUUGUAUCUGUCUUGUUCUAUUUUAGCUUUGUUUUACUUUA
Molecule: long non-coding RNA, 2245 nt
Organism: Cottoperca gobio
Lineage: Eukaryota; Metazoa; Chordata; Actinopteri; Perciformes; Bovichtidae
Exons: 7
Source: RefSeq, a predicted model, not a curated record